CCUACGGGAGACAGCAGUGAGGAAUAUUGGUCAAUGGACGCAAGUCUGAACCAGCCAUGCCGCGUGCAGGAAGACGGCUCUAUGAGUUGUAAACUGCUUUUGUACGAGGGUAAACGCAGAUACGCGUAUCUGUCUGAAAGUAUCGUACGACUAAGGAUCGGCUAACUCCGUACCAGCAGCCGCGGUAAUACGGAGGAUUCAAGCGUUAUCCGGAUUUAUUGGGUUUAAAGGGUGCGUAGGCGGUCGGAUAAGUUAGAGGUGAAAUCCCGAGGCUCAACUUCGGAAUUGCCGCUGAUACUGUUCGGCUAGAGAGUAGGUGCGGUAGGCGGAAUGUAUGGUGUAGCGGGGAAAUGCUUAGAGAUCAUACAGAACACCGAUUGCGAAGGCAGCUUACCAAGCUACUUCUGACGUUGAGGCACGAAAGCGUGGGGAGCAAACAGGAUUAGAUACCCCGGUAGUC
This 460-nucleotide ribosomal RNA is filed under the name uncultured bacterium. RNAcentral's name for it is "partial 16S ribosomal RNA". It matches the Rfam family "Bacterial small subunit ribosomal RNA", at positions 338 to 795 of the family's 1533-position model. The record is from RNAcentral.